GAAACCUAUGUGAAUCCUCCAGGCCUGCUAAGCCCAGGAGGCCGUGGUUUAACUCCAUGGAGGUUUCG
Molecule: transfer RNA, 68 nt
Filed under: Holothuria poli
Lineage: Eukaryota; Metazoa; Echinodermata; Holothuroidea; Aspidochirotida; Holothuriidae
Description: tRNA-Ser1
Source: RNAcentral